This 23-nucleotide microRNA is filed under the name Ananas comosus (pineapple). Its description in RNAcentral is "microRNA s1148_c008b". The record is from RNAcentral. Lineage: Eukaryota; Viridiplantae; Streptophyta; Magnoliopsida; Poales; Bromeliaceae.
GUGCAAAAUCACAGGGUACUAAC